RNAcentral lists this ribosomal RNA (432 nucleotides) under uncultured bacterium. RNAcentral's name for it is "bacterial SSU rRNA". It matches the Rfam family "Bacterial small subunit ribosomal RNA", at positions 29 to 507 of the family's 1533-position model. The record is from RNAcentral.
AACGAACGCUGGCGGCAUGCCUAACACAUGCAAGUCGAACGAAGCCUUCGGGCUUAGUGGCGCACGGGUGCGUAACACGUGGGAAUCUGCCCUUCGGUUCGGAAUAACAGUUAGAAAUGACUGCUAAUACCGGAUGAUGACGAAAGUCCAAAGAUUUAUCGCCGAAGGAUGAGCCCGCGUAGGAUUAGGUAGUUGGUAGGGUAAUGGCCUACCAAGCCGACGAUCCUUAGCUGGUCUGAGAGGAUGAUCAGCCACACUGGGACUGAGACACGGCCCAGACUCCUACGGGAGGCAGCAGUGGGGAAUAUUGGACAAUGGGCGAAAGCCUGAUCCAGCAAUGCCGCGUGAGUGAUGAAGGCCUUAGGGUUGUAAAGCUCUUUUACCAGGGAUGAUAAUGACAGUACCUGGAGAAUAAGCUCGGCUAACUCCGUG